Molecule: long non-coding RNA, 1184 nt
Organism: Lathyrus oleraceus (garden pea)
Lineage: Eukaryota; Viridiplantae; Streptophyta; Magnoliopsida; Fabales; Fabaceae
Exons: 2
Source: RefSeq, a predicted model, not a curated record
GAAAGUGUGUCCUUAUCUCUUCCGCCCCAUCCGUUUUUCUCUCAUUCCCUGCUCCACUCACUCUCCACUACAACUACCUCUCUCCACUCCACUCUCACUCACAGACAAAAACCUUCCUUCCUACAGCACGCACUCACAUUUCUCACUCUUUCAUAUUCCACACUCACGCUCCAUUCUGAGAAAAAAAACUCUCCACUGAUAUUUCACUCCCACUAUAAUACCCUCUCUCUCUCUCUCUCUACGAAGAAAAAAAAAAGCAGAAAACAAAAAGAAAUCUCUCAUCUCACCUUCAUCGCCUCUCGCAACGUCUCCCUCUCAACCCUAAAUCUCUUCACCGUCACCUUCAUUUUCCUCCACCAAACCCUCUCUUCAACCUCCAUCCAUCUUCGAAACCCGUUCUUCUCCACCGUCAAAAUCUCCAAAACCCCAAAUCGCCUCCUUCCUCCCAACGGCGCCUCAACCAUCGCUCACCUUCAAUCUUCAUCGCUUCCGCCAACCCAACUGUCAAAACCCAUCUUUAAAGCCCUAAACCUCUCUCUUUCAAAUCGUGACUCACCAUCAUUCACCACCACCAUCAACCGCCGCCGAUUCCAAAAUACCAUUGACUUUCCGUUACCUACAGCGUUGGGUCCUGGAGCGUAACCAAAGGAUGUCGCGAUUACGGAUUACACCUCCUGGUACGUGUGCCUGCGUUGAGGAUUGACGGGCCAACAAGGUGGAAUUUCGGUCAUAACCUAACAACAACAAACUCAAACAGCGAUAAGGCAAUACCGGCAAGCGCACCAACAACUUGUAGCAGAGGUUCACAUUUCGGUAACAACUUCAAGUUUCUGCUAAUUUAUUGUUGUUUUGUGCUUGUUGCGACAAUUUCAUUUUCAUUUCAUCUACAAUUUUGAUGAAAUCAUAGGUUGAAACUAAUAUGUUGAUUAUGGUUGUGUGUUUAUGAUCAUUUCAAUUUCGGUUGUACAUAUGCUGAUUUGCGGGUCUGGAUCGAAUGUCUGUUUGAGUGUGUGUUUAAAAUGUAAUAUUGUUGAAACUGUGGAUUUAAGUCGGCGUCGUUUUGUUUCUGUCAUUCUGUUUCUGUUGGGUAUGGUUCUUGAAAUAUUGAGCUCUGUGCAUAGGCUGUCAAUUUGGAAUACUGUGGAUUUAAGCUGUUUAGAUUUAAGUUGUUUUGAUUCGGUUUA